This 400-nucleotide ribosomal RNA is filed under the name uncultured bacterium. Its description in RNAcentral is "bacterial SSU rRNA". It matches the Rfam family "Bacterial small subunit ribosomal RNA", at positions 356 to 773 of the family's 1533-position model. The record is from RNAcentral.
GGGGAAUAUUGCGCAAUGGGGGAAACCCUGACGCAGCGACGCCGCGUGAAGGAAGAAGGCCUUCGGGUUGUAAACUUCUUUGAUCGGGGACGAAGAUGACGGUACCCGAGGAACAAGCCACGGCUAACUACGUGCCAGCAGCCGCGGUAAUACGUAGGUGGCGAGCGUUGUCCGGAAUUACUGGGUGUAAAGGGCGUGUAGGCGGGGCGUCAAGUCAGGUGUGAAAUUCUGGGGCUUAACUUCGGGUAUGCACCUGAAACUGAUGCUCUUGAGUGUCGGAGAGGAAAGUGGAAUUCCCAGUGUAGCGGUGAAAUGCGUAGAGAUUGGGAGGAACACCAGUGGCGAAGGCGGCUUUCUGGACGACAACUGACGCUGAGGCGCGAAAGCGUGGGGAGCAAGC